GGGGAGAGUUUGAUCCUGGCUCAGAUUGAACGCUGGCGGCAUGCCUUACACAUGCAAGUCGAACGGUAACAGGUCUUCGGAUGCUGACGAGUGGCGAACGGGUGAGUAAUACAUCGGAACGUGCCCGAUCGUGGGGGAUAACGGAGCGAAAGCUUUGCUAAUACCGCAUACGAUCUACGGAUGAAAGCGGGGGAUCUUCAGACCUCGCGCGGACGGAGCGGCCGAUGGCAGAUUAGGUAGUUGGUGGGAUAAAAGCUUAGGGAGCCGACGAUCUGUAGCUGGUCUGAGAGGAUGAUCAGCCACACUGGGACUGAGACACGGCCCAGACUCCUACGGGAGGCAGCAGUGGGGAAUUUUGGACAAUGGGGGCAACCCUGAUCCAGCCAUGCCGCGUGCAGGAUGAAGGCCUUCGGGUUGUAAACUGCUUUUGUACGGAACGAAAAGACUCUGGUUAAUACCUGGGGUCCAUGACGGUACCGUAAGAAUAAGCACCGGCUAACUACGUGCCAGCAGCCGCGGUAA
This 522-nucleotide ribosomal RNA is filed under the name uncultured bacterium. Its description in RNAcentral is "bacterial SSU rRNA". It matches the Rfam family "Bacterial small subunit ribosomal RNA", at positions 1 to 523 of the family's 1533-position model. The record is from RNAcentral.